AAGCUUUACAGGGAACAAUCUGAAUCAAAUGAAAACUACAGUCAGAGAGAGAGAGAGUGAGAAGGGUAGUGGGAGAGAUCUGCUGCCAUUUCUACCCAAGAGGACAAGAACUCUGCAGAGUUUCAGUUUUCCAAGUCUCACAGGUAUAGGAGAGUGUAAGAAAGCAGCACAUGGCUGGCCGAUUUAUCUGAAAAAAUUGCUGUCUCCUGAAAAGACUUUCAGAACUAACAAGGCAUUGUUGGUGAAUUGCUGUCCCCAAAGAGACUUCAGGUGUAUUUUGAAGGCUGUCUUCAAAGAAUUGCUGUCAGGGCAUCGUGUGAAUUGUGAAGGGAAGGAACGCCAUAGCUGACUACCUCCUGUGACCAAUAAAGCUCUGUG
RNAcentral lists this long non-coding RNA (378 nucleotides) under Phasianus colchicus (ring-necked pheasant). RNAcentral describes it as "lncRNA (ENSPCLG00000015473.1)". Lineage: Eukaryota; Metazoa; Chordata; Aves; Galliformes; Phasianidae. The record is from RNAcentral.